GGCAACAUGGCCGAGCGGUCUAUGGCGUGUGACUCAAGCUUAAAAGCUUGCCUGCCGAGGCGGGUUUCUCAUCCAAGUUAUUUGGGCAUGGGUUCGAAUCCCAUUGUUGUCA
This is a non-coding RNA of Dentipellis sp. KUC8613, 112 nucleotides long. The record is from the annotation of a GenBank genome assembly. Lineage: Eukaryota; Fungi; Basidiomycota; Agaricomycetes; Russulales; Hericiaceae.